This 1145-nucleotide ribosomal RNA is filed under the name Klebsiella pneumoniae. Its description in RNAcentral is "bacterial SSU rRNA". It matches the Rfam family "Bacterial small subunit ribosomal RNA", at positions 37 to 1178 of the family's 1533-position model. Lineage: Bacteria; Pseudomonadati; Pseudomonadota; Gammaproteobacteria; Enterobacterales; Enterobacteriaceae. The record is from RNAcentral.
UUGCGGCAGCUACACAUGCAGUCGAGCGGUAGCACAGAGAGCUUGCUCUCGGGUGACGAGCGGCGGACGGGUGAGUAAUGUCUGGGAAACUGCCUGAUGGAGGGGGAUAACUACUGGAAACGGUAGCUAAUACCGCAUAAUGUCGCAAGACCAAAGUGGGGGACCUUCGGGCCUCAUGCCAUCAGAUGUGCCCAGAUGGGAUUAGCUAGUAGGUGGGGUAACGGCUCACCUAGGCGACGAUCCCUAGCUGGUCUGAGAGGAUGACCAGCCACACUGGAACUGAGACACGGUCCAGACUCCUACGGGAGGCAGCAGUGGGGAAUAUUGCACAAUGGGCGCAAGCCUGAUGCAGCCAUGCCGCGUGUGUGAAGAAGGCCUUCGGGUUGUAAAGCACUUUCAGCGGGGAGGAAGGCGUUAAGGUUAAUAACCUUGGCGAUUGACGUUACCCGCAGAAGAAGCACCGGCUAACUCCGUGCCAGCAGCCGCGGUAAUACGGAGGGUGCAAGCGUUAAUCGGAAUUACUGGGCGUAAAGCGCACGCAGGCGGUCUGUCAAGUCGGAUGUGAAAUCCCCGGGCUCAACCUGGGAACUGCAUUCGAAACUGGCAGGCUAGAGUCUUGUAGAGGGGGGUAGAAUUCCAGGUGUAGCGGUGAAAUGCGUAGAGAUCUGGAGGAAUACCGGUGGCGAAGGCGGCCCCCUGGACAAAGACUGACGCUCAGGUGCGAAAGCGUGGGGAGCAAACAGGAUUAGAUACCCUGGUAGUCCACGCCGUAAACGAUGUCGAUUUGGAGGUUGUGCCCUUGAGGCGUGGCUUCCGGAGCUAACGCGUUAAAUCGACCGCCUGGGGAGUACGGCCGCAAGGUUAAAACUCAAAUGAAUUGACGGGGGCCCGCACAAGCGGUGGAGCAUGUGGUUUAAUUCGAUGCAACGCGAAGAACCUUACCUGGUCUUGACAUCCACAGAACUUAGCAGAGAUGCUUUGGUGCCUUCGGGAACUGUGAGACAGGUGCUGCAUGGCUGUCGUCAGCUCGUGUUGUGAAAUGUUGGGUUAAGUCCCGCAACGAGCGCAACCCUUAUCCUUUGUUGCCAGCGGUUAGGCCGGGAACUCAAAGGAGACUGCCAGUGAUAAACUGGAGGAAGGUGGGG